AGGCUCUCCUGCAGCGGGGGCACCUUAGAGGCUGGUUGUGUGGGCCAAGAAUGCACUCGAAGAGCAGGAACAGAGUUUGCAAGGGGGGCUGCCGGUGUCCACGGGAACCGUGGCAGGCCAGACACACCCAUCCCUGGAGAAGCAGAAGGUCGGCUAGGAGCUAUGAACAUCCUUGCUGAGCCCCAGAAGUGAGGAGCAACAGGGGAGGAAGGAGGCUCCUAUCUUGAAGCUGUUGGGCACCUACGCAAGUGGCACAGGGAGGGGCAGGGUGUUGGCUCCGAGUGAGAGAUUUGCUUAAGCCAGAUGGUGGCCGAUGAAGGAGGCCCAGGCAACCCCUUCUGGUCUUCCAGACAGCACCACAGGUUUGUGUGGGUUGGAGGGGUGCUAUCUGUCUGUCCAUCCACAAGCACAUGCCAG
RNAcentral lists this long non-coding RNA (417 nucleotides) under Homo sapiens (human). RNAcentral describes it as "HSALNT0183212". The record is from RNAcentral. Lineage: Eukaryota; Metazoa; Chordata; Mammalia; Primates; Hominidae.